This 420-nucleotide RNase P RNA is filed under the name Streptomyces luridiscabiei. RNAcentral describes it as "partial ribonuclease P RNA". It matches the Rfam family "Bacterial RNase P class A". Rfam says of the family: Ribonuclease P (RNase P) is a ubiquitous endoribonuclease, found in archaea, bacteria and eukarya as well as chloroplasts and mitochondria. Lineage: Bacteria; Bacillati; Actinomycetota; Actinomycetes; Kitasatosporales; Streptomycetaceae. The record is from RNAcentral.
ACGGCAGACGAGCCGUGCGGACGGCCGCGUGAGGAUCCUUCGGGACCCUCCCGAGGAACGUCCGGGCUCCACAGGGCAGGGUGGUGGCUAACGGCCACCCGGGGUGAUCCCGCGGGACAGUGCCACAGAAAACAGACCGCCCGGGAUCUCGGUCCCGGGUAAGGGUGAAACGGUGGUGUAAGAGACCACCAGCGCCUGAGGUGACUCAGGCGGCUAGGUAAACCCCACCCGGAGCAAGGUCAAGAGGGGUCGUUCCUGGAACGGGACGGCCCUGCGUGAACGUUCGAGGGCUGCUCGCCCGAGUUCACGGGUAGACCGCACGAGGCCGGCAGCAAUGCCGGUCCUAGAUGGAUGGCCGUCUCCCCGGCCGCCGCGAGGCGACCGGGCGACAGAACCCGGCGGACAGCCCGACUCGUCUGC